UGCAAAAGAAAGGGGUAAGGGAGAGCAAAAGCAAGGGGUAAGGGAGGGCAAAAGCAAGGGGGAUCAUGGUUUGGACAAAAAUAGUGAGAAGUGGUCAGAGUCCAGAUAUAUUUUGAAGGUAGAGCCAAUGGAUCUUCUGAGAAA
Molecule: long non-coding RNA, 144 nt
Organism: Sapajus apella (tufted capuchin)
Lineage: Eukaryota; Metazoa; Chordata; Mammalia; Primates; Cebidae
Exons: 3
Source: RefSeq, a predicted model, not a curated record